CCUACGGGUGGCAGCAGUGAGGAAUAUUGGUCCAUGGGCGCGAGCCUGAACCAGCCAAGUAGCGUGAAGGAUGACUGCUCUAUGUGUUGUAAACUUCUUUUAUAAAGGAAUAAAGUGAGGCACGUGUGCCUUUUUGUAUGUACUUUAUGAAUAAGGAUCGGCUAACUCCGUGCCAGCAGCCGCGGUAAUAAGGAGGAUCCGAGCGUUAUCCGGAUUUAUUUGGUUUAAAGGGGGCGUAGAUGGGUUUUUAAGUCAGUUGUGAAAGUUUGCGGCUCAACCGUAAAAUUGCAAUUGAUACUGGCAGUCUUGAGUACAGUUGAGGUAGGCGGAAUGCGUGGUGUAGCGGUGAAAUGCUUAGAUAUCACGAAGAACUCCGAUUGCGAAGGCAGCUUACUAAACUGCCACUGACAUUGAUGCUCGAAAGUGUGGGUAUCAAACAGGAUUAGAUACCCGGGUAGUC
Molecule: ribosomal RNA, 460 nt
Filed under: uncultured bacterium
Lineage: Bacteria
Description: partial 16S ribosomal RNA
Rfam family: Bacterial small subunit ribosomal RNA
Source: RNAcentral